This 1195-nucleotide long non-coding RNA is filed under the name Equus asinus (donkey). RNAcentral's name for it is "lncRNA (ENSEASG00005031362.1)". The record is from RNAcentral. Lineage: Eukaryota; Metazoa; Chordata; Mammalia; Perissodactyla; Equidae.
GGAACAGAAGGGAGGAGAUAAAAAGAAGGAGCUGACAGUGUGAGGGGGAGACAGUCUGUCAAUGUGACCCUUGCUGUCAUUCUGAAAGGAUUGUUUUGGUAGCAAAUGACAGAAACCAUCCCGGAGACGUAAACAAGAAGACGGUAUUGGGAGGAUCCUGGAGAUGCUGGCAGCCUCUAGGAGCUAAAAAAGACCCACUUUUUCCUCAUGGCUGGAACUGCGUCCACCUGCAACUCCUGAACCUCACGUUCCAGAGGAGAAAGUUUGCCUCUCUCUCUGUCCGGUUUGCAAAGCCCCAGGGAAGGACUAUUAAUGGCUUGCCUUGUGUGGCAGAUGCUGUUGGUGCCCCACCUACACCCCUGGGCUCCUCACUCACUGCUCCUCUGCACGCACAACAAGCUUCCUGCUGCCAGCCCUGUGGCUCUUGGCCUGGCCUUUCUCUGGCCACUAUGGUGAGCUCUGCCUCAGGCCAGCUGGAAAUGCUAGGAAGUCAACCGUGGAGGUGAAAGUCCAGGCAGUGGGCUAUCAAUCAAUGGCUGACCGGAGUUGGUGGACAAAGACCUGAGCUCCCUUGCCCCAUGGGUGGGAGAAGUCUAAAGAGUGCUCUCCAGGGGCUGGUGCAGUGGUGAAGUGGUUAAGCGCGCGUGCUCAGUUGCGGGGCUCGAGGUUCACAGGCUCGGAUCCAGGCACGGACCUAGCACCACUCAUCAAGCCAUGCUGUGGCAGCAUCCCACAUAAAAUAGAGGAAGGUGGGCACAGAUGUUAGCUCAGCGACAAUCCUCCUCAGGGAAAAAGAGGAAGAUUGACAACGGAUGUUAGCUCAGGGCCAAUCUUCCUCACAAAAAUGAAAAAUACAAGAGUGCUCUCUACAACCCCCCUGAGGUCCCCGGCAGGACUGAGUCCCAGGUGCUCACAGUGGAAACCUGCUUGUUGGUGCUCCCUGUGUUGACUUCCGUCCCUUCCCCAUAUCACUGUCCCAGGCCCCUGCUGGUGCCACCUGGGGCUAGCUACCAAAUAAACUGCUUGUCCUCAAAUUCUUCCUCAGGGUCUGCUUCUGGGGCAUCUUAAUCUAAGACACUGUAGGCCAGGUGCUUAUCCCUGGACCAAUCAUAGCAGCGUGGAGGUGGGGGUGAGGGGCCCUCAGUAAGUACGAGCAUAGCAGCUCUUACUGGAAACACAUGGUUGAUAUGGGGGG